Molecule: unclassified non-coding RNA, 207 nt
Filed under: Hevea brasiliensis (rubber tree)
Lineage: Eukaryota; Viridiplantae; Streptophyta; Magnoliopsida; Malpighiales; Euphorbiaceae
Source: RNAcentral
AUUUUACAAGAUAGUAAUGUAUACUCCACACAACUACUCAAUCUCAAAAUAUUAUAAUUUUAUAUAAGAAAAUUCAUUUAUAAGAAUAAUAGUACAACAACAAUAAUAAUGAUACUUUGAUAAACUCUUACCAUAAUACUCUUCCUAAUUUCCAAUAGUAAUAAUGUAAAUAAUUUAUUACUUAAUAAAGAGAGAGAGAGAGAGAGA